UCAGCAUACAAUAAUCCCGCUCAUGUGGAGCCGAGGCUUUUCCAGUGAGGACUCAUUUGAGGGAAGAGGGAUUGUAUUGCUCUCCGUCUGAGAGACCCGAACGCGAGCGCGGCUGACCCACAUCAUUACCCUGAACAUGAACAAAUGUUUACAGUGUCUGCUGUUGAUGGAUGGUGUGCUGCUCUGGCUGUAGCUGCAGUGUACGGCGCUGGCUUCUGAAGCUGACAUCAUCAAGGCCGCAUAAAUUUCAACCAGUAGGUGCCCUCGAUGUUUCAGUAGGGGGUUGGUUCUUCACAAUUA
Long non-coding RNA from Sinocyclocheilus anshuiensis, 300 nucleotides. RefSeq lists it as uncharacterized. The transcript is spliced from 4 exons. The record is from RefSeq and is a predicted model, not a curated record. Lineage: Eukaryota; Metazoa; Chordata; Actinopteri; Cypriniformes; Cyprinidae.